GACGAACGCUGGCGGCGUGCUUAACACAUGCAAGUCGAACGGAAAGGCCCUGCUUUUUUGGGGUGCUCGAGUGGCGAACGGGUGAGUAACACUUGAGUAACCUGCCCUUGACUUUUGGAUAACUUCAGGAAACUGGGGCUAAUACCGGAUAGGAGCUCCUGCUGCAUGUUGGGUGUUGGAAAGUUUCGGCGGUUGGGGAUGGACUCGCGGCUUAUCAUCUUGUUGGUGGGGUAGUGGCUUACCAAGGCUUUGACGGGUAGCCGGCCUGAGAGGGUGACCGGCAACAUUGGGACUGAGAUACGGCACAGACUAGUACGGGAGGCAGCAGUGGGGAAUAUUGCACAAUGGGCGGAAGCAUGAUGCAGCAACGCCGCGUGAGGGAUGACGGACUUCGGGUUGAAAACAGCUUUCGCCUGUGACGAAGCGUGAGUGACGGUAAUGGGUAAAGAAGCACCGGCUAACUACGUG
Molecule: ribosomal RNA, 468 nt
Filed under: uncultured bacterium
Lineage: Bacteria
Description: partial 16S ribosomal RNA
Rfam family: Bacterial small subunit ribosomal RNA
Source: RNAcentral